GCACUGUUCUUGCACCUGCUCCUAGCCCUGAACUCGGGCCCUGAGCUCCUCACUGCCGCCCGCUCUGCGCUGAGCCCCACUCCUGAGACCGCGAGGUGCCAGAGCAGCGCCUCUCCCACCAACUCCUAGACGCCUGUAGGAGCUGCGCCGGAGCCUUCAGAACCCCAUGGGGGUGUGGGGGUGAAGUUGGAGGUCAUCCGGGUGAUUUUUUUCUUACUUUUUCCUAAUUGUUCUCCUGCGUUGAUUUCAACUCUUCCAGUCUCCCGGUGCUGGGGCGCCAAUCCUUUCCCAACAAUUCCUACCCACCAGCUGGAGGUCGGGGCCCAGGGUUACCCCAGAGUUCUAUGGUGGCAGGGGGCGCCGAGUAGAGGGGCGGGAGGAGCUGGGUCCUCGGGAACCAAAGGGGACCUCAGCGGGGGCGGAGUGCGCAGCCUUGGCUGCUGGGAAAUGCCCAACUAGCCGCUGUGAGUGCCCACAGCGCGUCGUGGGGGCGUCCGUUCUGCAGCUCGGGUGACUCAGACGCCCUGCCAACCCCACCAGCUCCCGGCUUCUCGAACGCUCUUCUGAUCGCCCAGCGGGGAGACUUCAGGGCCUGCCUCGUCAGGCCAGAUUGCAGCCCGCGACCUUCCCGGAUUAACCAAGGGCGGGGCCUGUUGCCCAGCAAGGCUGCUGCCUAACUGAGCCUCCCGGGGAACAGCCAUGACCAAAGCCCCGCGGGCCCAGGCGCGGGCACCUACCCCUACCCGCUCAGGCCUGUGGGAGCGCAGGGGCAGAGGCCGAGACGCUGGACUUCCAGCCCCACACCUCUGACAACCCGGGCACGUCUGCGGAGCCCGGGGGAACAGUCAGCGGGCUCUGCGUCCCGGGAGCUGGGGACACGCCUGCAAGGGCUUUCCGCCUGCACACAGUCAUUUGGAGAAAAUCAAGAGAGUUUUCAACCUUGGAAAUUGUGCAAUGUUCCAGCCGACUUAAUGGGCUUGCCUUAUGCGGAGAGGCAGUCCUGCAGGACAGAGCUAAUGUGUGGUCUCCCAGGAAGCUCAUCAGAACACCUCUUGUCCCUUUUCUUUAAAAGAAAAAAAAUUUAAAAAGUUUUUGCUUCCAUCUCAAUGUCCAUUCCAUUAUUUUGUAGCUACAAUAAAGAAACAUGGGCAGCAGUG
This 1157-nucleotide long non-coding RNA is filed under the name Homo sapiens (human). Its description in RNAcentral is "HSALNT0304680". Lineage: Eukaryota; Metazoa; Chordata; Mammalia; Primates; Hominidae. The record is from RNAcentral.